AAACCAACAGGGAUUGCCCCAGUAACGGCGAGUGAAGCGGCAACAGCUCAAAUUUGAAAUCUGGCCCCCAGGGCCCGAGUUGUAAUUUGCAGAGGAUGCUUUGGGCGAGGUGCCUUCCGAGUUCCCUGGAACGGGACGCCAUAGAGGGUGAGAGCCCCGUCUGGUCGGACACCGAGCCUGUGUAAAGCUCCUUCGACGAGUCGAGUAGUUUGGGAAUGCUGCUCAAAAUGGGAGGUAUAUGUCUUCUAAAGCUAAAUAUUGGCCAGAGACCGAUAGCGCACAAGUAGAGUGAUCGAAAGAUGAAAAGCACUUUGAAAAGAGGGUUAAAAAGUACGUGAAAUUGUUGAAAGGGAAGCGCCUAUGACCAGACUUGGGCCCGGUGAAUCAUCCAGCGUUCUCGCUGGUGCACUUUGCCGGGCACAGGCCAGCAUCAGUUUGGCGCGGGGGACAAAGGCUUCGGGAAUGUAGCUCCCUCGGGAGUGUUAUAGCCCGCUGCGCAAUACCCUGCGCCGGACUGAGGUACGCGCAUCGCAAGGAUGCUGGCGUAAUGGUCAUCAGCGACCCGUCUUGAAACACGGACCAAGGAGUCGUCUUCGUAUGCGAGUGUUCGGGUGUCAAACCCCUACGCGUAAUGAAAGUGAACGCAGGUGAGAGCUUCGGCGCAUCAUCGACCGAUCCUGAUGUUCUCGGAUGGAUUUGAGUAAGAGCAUACGGGGCCGGACCCGAAAGAAGGUGAACUAUGCCUGUAUAGGGUGAAGCCAGAGGAAACUCUGGUGGAGGCUCGCAGCGGUUCUGACGUGCGAAUCGAUCGUCAAAUAUGGGCAUGGGGGCGAAA
RNAcentral lists this ribosomal RNA (835 nucleotides) under Cordyceps pruinosa. RNAcentral's name for it is "LSU rRNA". It matches the Rfam family "Eukaryotic large subunit ribosomal RNA", at positions 62 to 928 of the family's 3401-position model. The record is from RNAcentral. Lineage: Eukaryota; Fungi; Ascomycota; Sordariomycetes; Hypocreales; Cordycipitaceae.